Molecule: non-coding RNA, 72 nt
Organism: Potamilus streckersoni
Lineage: Eukaryota; Metazoa; Mollusca; Bivalvia; Unionida; Unionidae
Source: the annotation of a GenBank genome assembly
GCUCUAGUGGCUUAGUGAUUAGAGAGUCCGCCUUGGAUGUGGGAGGACGCAGGUUCGAACCCAGGCCGAGUU